AAACUUUCAACAACGGAUCUCUUGCUCUGGCAUCGUUGAAGAACGCAGCGAAAUGCGAUAAGUAAUGUGNAUUGCGGAAUUCAGUGAGUCAUCGAAUCUUUGAACGCACAUUGACGCCGCCAGUAUUCUGGCGGGCAUGCCUGUUCGAGCGUCAUUA
RNAcentral lists this ribosomal RNA (157 nucleotides) under Fusarium solani. Its description in RNAcentral is "5.8S ribosomal RNA". It matches the Rfam family "5.8S ribosomal RNA". From Rfam's summary of the family: 5.8S ribosomal RNA (5.8S rRNA) is a component of the large subunit of the eukaryotic ribosome. The record is from RNAcentral. Lineage: Eukaryota; Fungi; Ascomycota; Sordariomycetes; Hypocreales; Nectriaceae.